GAUGAACGCUGGCGGCGUGCCUAAUACAUGCAAGUCGAGCGAACGGACGAGAAGCUUGCUUCUCUGAUGUUAGCGGCGGACGGGUGAGUAACACGUGGAUAACCUACCUAUAAGACUGGGAUAACUUCGGGAAACCGGAGCUAAUACCGGAUAAUAUUUUGAACCGCAUGGUUCAAAAGUGAAAGACGGUCUUGCUGUCACUUAUAGAUGGAUCCGCGCUGCAUUAGCUAGUUGGUAAGGUAACGGCUUACCAAGGCAACGAUGCAUAGCCGACCUGAGAGGGUGAUCGGCCACACUGGAACUGAGACACGGUCCAGACUCCUACGGGAGGCAGCAGUAGGGAAUCUUCCGCAAUGGGCGAAAGCCUGACGGAGCAACGCCGCGUGAGUGAUGAAGGUCUUCGGAUCGUAAAACUCUGUUAUUAGGGAAGAACAUAUGUGUAAGUAACUGUGCACAUCUUGACGGUACCUAAUCAGAAAGCCACGGCUAACUACGUGCCAGCAGCCGCGGUAAUACGUAGGUGGCAAGCGUUGUCCGGAAUUAUUGGGCGUAAAGCGCGCGUAGGCGGUUUUUUAGUCUGAUGUGAAAGCCCACGGCUCAACCGUGGAGGGUCAUUGGAAACUGGAAAACUUGAGUGCAGAAGAGGAAAGUGGAAUUCCAUGUGUAGCGGUGAAAUGCGCAGAGAUAUGGAGGAACACCAGUGGCGAAGGCGACUUUCUGGUCUGUAACUGACGCUGAUGUGCGAAAGCGUGGGGAUCAAACAGGAUUAGAUACCCUGGUAGUCCACGCCGUAAACGAUGAGUGCUAAGUGUUAGGGGGUUUCCGCCCCUUAGUGCUGCAGCUAACGCAUUAAGCACUCCGCCUGGGGAGUACGACCGCAAGGUUGAAACUCAAAGGAAUUGACGGGGACCCGCACAAGCGGUGGAGCAUGUGGUUUAAUUCGAAGCAACGCGAAGAACCUUACCAAAUCUUGACAUCCUUUGACAACUCUAGAGAUAGAGCCUUCCCCUUCGGGGGACAAAGUGACAGGUGGUGCAUGGUUGUCGUCAGCUCGUGUCGUGAGAUGUUGGGUUAAGUCCCGCAACGAGCGCAACCCUUAAGCUUAGUUGCCAUCAUUAAGUUGGGCACUCUAAGUUGACUGCCGGUGACAAACCGGAGGAAGGUGGGGAUGACGUCAAAUCAUCAUGCCCCUUAUGAUUUGGGCUACACACGUGCUACAAUGGACAAUACAAAGGGCAGCGAAACCGCGAGGUCAAGCAAAUCCCAUAAAGUUGUUCUCAGUUCGGAUUGUAGUCUGCAACUCGACUACAUGAAGCUGGAAUCGCUAGUAAUCGUAGAUCAGCAUGCUACGGUGAAUACGUUCCCGGGUCU
Molecule: ribosomal RNA, 1371 nt
Filed under: uncultured bacterium
Lineage: Bacteria
Description: bacterial SSU rRNA
Rfam family: Bacterial small subunit ribosomal RNA
Source: RNAcentral